GCAUAUCAAUAAGCGGAGGAAAAGAAACCAACAGGGAUUGCCUCAGUAACGGCGAGUGAAGCGGCAAAAGCUCAAAUUUGAAAUCUAGCACUUUCAGUGUUCGAGUUGUAAUUUGAAGAAGGUAACUUUGGUUUUGGCUCUUGUCUAUGUUCCUUGGAACAGGACGUCACAGAGGGUGAGAAUCCCGUGCGAUGAGAUGCCCAAUUCCAUGUAAAGUGCUUUCGAAGAGUCGAGUUGUUUGGGAAUGCAGCUCUAAGUGGGUGGUAAAUUCCAUCUAAAGCUAAAUAUUGGCGAGAGACCGAUAGCGAACAAGUACAGUGAUGGAAAGAUGAAAAGAACUUUGAAAAGAGAGUGAAAAAGUACGUGAAAUUGUUGAAAGGGAAGGGCUUGAGAUCAGACUUGGUAUUUUGCGUUCCCUUCCUUUUUGGUUGGGUUCCUCGCAGUUUACUGGGCCAGCAUCGGUUUGGAUGGUAGGAUAAUGACAUUGGAAUGUAGCUUUACUUCGGUGAAGUGUUAUAGACUUUGUUGAUACUGCCUAUCUAGACCGAGGACUGCGUCUUUGACUAGGAUGCUGGCGUAAUGAUCUUAAGCCGCCCGUCUUGAAACACGGACCA
RNAcentral lists this ribosomal RNA (614 nucleotides) under Dujonia zeylanoides. RNAcentral describes it as "eukaryotic LSU rRNA". It matches the Rfam family "Eukaryotic large subunit ribosomal RNA", at positions 38 to 668 of the family's 3401-position model. The record is from RNAcentral. Lineage: Eukaryota; Fungi; Ascomycota; Pichiomycetes; Serinales; Debaryomycetaceae.